Desmophyllum pertusum is the source of this 73-nucleotide non-coding RNA. The record is from the annotation of a GenBank genome assembly. NCBI's taxonomy places the organism in Eukaryota, Metazoa, Cnidaria, Anthozoa, Scleractinia, Caryophylliidae.
GGCUCUGUAGCUCAGAUGGCAGAACAAUGGACAUGUAACCCGAAGGUCGUGGGUUCCAAACCCACCUGAGCCA